Molecule: ribosomal RNA, 27 nt
Filed under: Wrightoporia luteola
Lineage: Eukaryota; Fungi; Basidiomycota; Agaricomycetes; Russulales; Wrightoporiaceae
Description: partial 28S ribosomal RNA
Source: RNAcentral
CUGUCUCCCUCUGAUGAGACAAGCCUU